This 243-nucleotide ribosomal RNA is filed under the name uncultured bacterium. RNAcentral's name for it is "partial 16S ribosomal RNA". It matches the Rfam family "Bacterial small subunit ribosomal RNA", at positions 89 to 334 of the family's 1533-position model. The record is from RNAcentral.
UGGCGACCGGCGCACGGUGAGUAACACGUAUCCAACCUGCCGAUGACUCGGGGAUAGCCUUUCGAAAGAAAGAUUAAUACCCGAUGGCAUAGUUCUUCCGCAUGGUAGAACUAUUAAAGAAUUUCGGUCAUCGAUGGGGAUGCGUUCCAUUAGGUUGUUGGCGGGGUAACGGCCCACCAAGCCUUCGAUGGAUAGGGGUUCUGAGAGGAAGGUCCCCCACAUUGGAACUGAGACACGGUCCAA